This 620-nucleotide ribosomal RNA is filed under the name Rhizopus arrhizus. Its description in RNAcentral is "eukaryotic LSU rRNA". The stretch from base 226 to 379 matches the Rfam family "5.8S ribosomal RNA". The record is from RNAcentral. Lineage: Eukaryota; Fungi; Mucoromycota; Mucoromycetes; Mucorales; Rhizopodaceae.
CUUCCGUAGGGGAACCUGCGGAAGGAUCAUUAAUUAUGUUAAAGCGCCUUACCUUAGGGUUUCCUCUGGGGUAAGUGAUUGCUUCUACACUGUGAAAAUUUGGCUGAGAGACUCAGACUGGUCAUGGGUAGACCUAUCUGGGGUUUGAUCGAUGCCACUCCUGGUUUCAGGAGUACCCUUCAUAAUAAACCUAGAAAUUCAGUAUUAUAAAGUUUAAUAAAAAACAACUUUUAACAAUGGAUCUCUUGGUUCUCGCAUCGAUGAAGAACGUAGCAAAGUGCGAUAACUAGUGUGAAUUGCAUAUUCAGUGAAUCAUCGAGUCUUUGAACGCAGCUUGCACUCUAUGGUUUUUCUAUAGAGUACGCCUGCUUCAGUAUCAUCACAAACCCACACAUAACAUUUGUUUAUGUGGUGAUGGGUCGCAUCGCUGUUUUAUUACAGUGAGCACCUAAAAUGUGUGUGAUUUUCUGUCUGGCUUGCUAGGCAGGAAUAUUACGCUGGUCUCAGGAUCUUUUUUUUUGGUUCGCCCAGGAAGUAAAGUACAAGAGUAUAAUCCAGUAACUUUCAAACUAUGAUCUGAAGUCAGGUGGGAUUACCCGCUGAACUUAAGCAUAUCAAUA